AUUGCUUCUCAGCUUUUUGGCUAAGAUAAAGUAUAGUAUUUGUUCUUAUCAGUUUGAUAUUUGAAUGUCCUCUAUCCUAGGACAAUAUAUUAAAUGGAUUUUUGGAGCAGGGAGAUGGAUACACGAGCUGGCUCUAUACACUCCGUGCAUCAACCUGGUGUCAUGAUACUUCUAGGAAAGGUGUACCCAUU
Small nuclear RNA from Hyaena hyaena (striped hyena), 191 nucleotides. RefSeq annotates it as U2 spliceosomal RNA. The transcript has a single exon. Lineage: Eukaryota; Metazoa; Chordata; Mammalia; Carnivora; Hyaenidae. The record is from RefSeq and is a predicted model, not a curated record.